CAGCCGCCGCGGUAAUACGUAGGUGGCAAGCGUUGUCCGGAAUUAUUGGGCGUAAAGCGCGCGCAGGCGGUUCCUUAAGUCUGAUGUGAAAGCCCACGGCUCAACCGUGGAGGGUCAUUGGAAACUGGGGAACUUGAGUGCAGAAGAGGAAAGUGGAAUUCCACGUGUAGCGGUGAAAUGCGUAGAGAUGUGGAGGAACACCAGUGGCGAAGGCGACUUUCUGGUCUGUAACUGACGCUGAGGCGCGAAAGCGUGGGGAGCAAACAGGAUUAGAUACCCUGGUAGUCCACGCCGUAAACGAUGAGUGCUAAGUGUUAGGGGGUUUCCGCCCCUUAGUGCUGCAGCUAACGCAUUAAGCACUCCGCCUGGGGAGUACGGCCGCAAGGCUGAAACUUAAAGGUAUUGGCGGG
This 410-nucleotide ribosomal RNA is filed under the name uncultured microorganism. Its description in RNAcentral is "bacterial SSU rRNA". It matches the Rfam family "Bacterial small subunit ribosomal RNA", at positions 509 to 917 of the family's 1533-position model. The record is from RNAcentral.